AAGACAUGCAAGUCGAACGGGAUUAUUUUUGUAGCAAUACAGAAAUAAUUCAGUGGCGAACGGGUGCGUAACACGUGGGCAAUCUGCCGAAAAGUGGGGGAUAGCUCGCCGAAAGGCGAAUUAAUACCGCAUGUGGUGAGGGACGACAUCUUCCUGAAUCCAAAGCCGGGGUAACCUGGCGCUUUUUGAGGAGCCCGCGGCCUAUCAGCUAGUUGGCGGGGUAACGGCCCACCAAGGCUAUGACGGGUAGCUGGUCUGAGAGGACGACCAGUCACACUGGAACUGAGACACGGUCCAGACACCUACGGGUGGCAGCAGUCGAGAAUUUUUCUCAAUGGGGGAAACCCUGAAGGAGCGACGCCGCGUGGAGGAUGAAGGCUUUCGGGUUGUAAACUCCUGUCAUUUGGGAACAAGUUGUACGUGUUUACUGCACGUGCAUUGAUAGUACCAGAAGAGGAAGGGACGGCUAACUCUGUGCCAGCAGCCGCGGUAAUACAGAGGUCCCAAGCGUUGUUCGGAUUCAUUGGGCGUAAAGGGUGCGUAGGUGGCGCCGUAAGUCGGGUGUGAAAUUUCGGAGCCUAACUCCGAAACUGCAUUCGAUACUGCGGUGCUUGAGGACUGGA
Molecule: ribosomal RNA, 623 nt
Filed under: metal-contaminated soil clone K20-07
Lineage: Bacteria; Pseudomonadati; Verrucomicrobiota
Description: bacterial SSU rRNA
Rfam family: Bacterial small subunit ribosomal RNA
Source: RNAcentral